Molecule: small nucleolar RNA, 126 nt
Organism: Heterocephalus glaber (naked mole-rat)
Lineage: Eukaryota; Metazoa; Chordata; Mammalia; Rodentia; Bathyergidae
Source: Ensembl
ACAGACUCACACUGCACCUGGCUGCAGCCCCCAGGCAGGUGGGUUUUCUGUCUGCCAGAGAACCUUCCAGGGAGCUGUGGCAGCCUUCACCUGCUGAGGCUGAUGCAGUUUCCAGGGAACAUGGAA